Molecule: transfer RNA, 75 nt
Filed under: Alphaproteobacteria bacterium
Lineage: Bacteria; Pseudomonadati; Pseudomonadota; Alphaproteobacteria
Description: tRNA-Val
Rfam family: tRNA
About the family: Transfer RNA (tRNA) molecules are approximately 80 nucleotides in length. Their secondary structure includes four short double-helical elements and three loops (D, anti-codon, and T loops). Further hydrogen bonds mediate the characteristic L-shaped molecular structure. tRNAs have two regions of fundamental functional importance: the anti-codon, which is responsible for specific mRNA codon recognition, and the 3' end, to which the tRNAs corresponding amino acid is attached (by aminoacyl-tRNA synthetases). tRNAs cope with the degeneracy of the genetic code in two manners: having more than one tRNA (with a specific anti-codon) for a particular amino acid; and 'wobble' base-pairing, i.e. permitting non-standard base-pairing at the 3rd anti-codon position.
Source: RNAcentral
GGGCGAUUAGCUCAGUGGGAGAGCAUCUCGUUUACACCGAGGGGGUCGGCGGUUCAAUCCCGUCAUCGCCCACCA